AGUCUGAGAUAUUUAAAUUUGAAAUGAUGCUAAUUACUUUGUAACAAAAAAAAGUCUCCCUGCAAAUAGGCAACUCUUUACCUAAAACACCAUUAACCUAAUUAACCUAAAGUCCCACUAUAAAUAGGUCUCUUGUAGGUAAUCAAGAGAAAUUAAUAGAAACAGAAAACAAUGGGAUGCUUUUCAGCAAUUUUCUGCUCCACCAUUUUUGCUAAUUCAAAGGUCUUCGACGAAAAGCAGUUUUCUGAUGCAAAAAGGUCUAACAAGUCUGAGAGAUUGAUGAGCAAAUCAAAAUCUCCAAUUCUUGUUCCUCAUUUUCCUUUUAAUUUUUGUGCUCCGAGGCUGUAGUUUUUUUUUUUUUUUCUCAAUGUAGCGGGUAUUUAAUUUUGUUCUUUUGCAUUAUUAUUAUUAUUAUUUUUUUUUGAGAGAGAGCAUGACUAAUCUUAAUUAAUCAUGCAAUUUUGAAGAGUUAGGAAUAAUUUCAUUCAUGUGAGUGUAUUAAUCUCUUGCGAUUUUUAUGAAUUAGAAAAUUUUGAGUUAUUUUAUAUUCA
Non-coding RNA from Jatropha curcas, 551 nucleotides. The record is from RefSeq and is a predicted model, not a curated record. Lineage: Eukaryota; Viridiplantae; Streptophyta; Magnoliopsida; Malpighiales; Euphorbiaceae.